GAUGAAGAACGUAGCGAAAUGCGAUACUUGGUGUGAAUUGCAGAAUCCCGUGAACCAUCGAGUCUUUGAACGCAAGUUGCGCCCGAAGCCAUUAGGCCGAGGGCACGCCUGCCUGGGCGUCACACGUCGUUGCCCCCCCUUCUACUCCUUCGGGAUUGCGGGGGGCGGAUGAUGGCCUCCCGUGCGCCUCGUCGCGCGGUUGGCAUAAAUGCCAAGUCCUCGGCGACGCACGCCACGACAAUCGGUGGUUGCGAAACCUCGGUUGCCCGUCGUGUGCGGUCGUCGCGCAUCGAGGGCUCGAAAAAAUUGCCGGGCUCCGGCUCGGCUUUCAACGCGACCCCAGGUCAGGCGGGGUUACCCGCUGAAUUUAAGCAUAUCAAUAAGCGGAGGA
Molecule: unclassified non-coding RNA, 391 nt
Filed under: soil metagenome
Description: partial contains 5.8S ribosomal RNA, internal transcribed spacer 2, and large subunit ribosomal RNA
Rfam family: 5.8S ribosomal RNA (bases 1-122)
Source: RNAcentral